Molecule: transfer RNA, 67 nt
Filed under: Rhodeus shitaiensis
Lineage: Eukaryota; Metazoa; Chordata; Actinopteri; Cypriniformes; Acheilognathidae
Description: tRNA-Ser
Source: RNAcentral
AAGAAGGGAUAAGAUCAAUAAGUACUGCUAAUCCUUAAAACCAUGGUUAAAAUCCAUGGCCUUCUUG